GACAGAGGGUGCAAACGUUGUUCGGAAUUACUGGGCGUAAAGCGCGUGUAGGCUGCUCUGCAAGUCGGAUGUGAAAGCCCUGGGCUCAACCUAGGAAGUGCAUUCGAAACUGCAGAGCUGGAGUCCUGGAGAGGAAGGCGGAAUUCUCGGUGUAGAGGUGAAAUUCGUAGAUAUCGAGAGGAACACCGGUGGCGAAGGCGGCCUUCUGGACAGUGACUGACGCUGAGACGCGAAAGCGUGGGGAGCAAACAGG
Molecule: ribosomal RNA, 253 nt
Filed under: uncultured bacterium
Lineage: Bacteria
Description: partial 16S ribosomal RNA
Rfam family: Bacterial small subunit ribosomal RNA
Source: RNAcentral